UUGGAGGGCAAGUCUGGUGCCAGCAGCCGCGGUAAUUCCAGCUCCAAUAGCGUAUAUUAAAGUUGUUGCAGUUAAAAAGCUCGUAGUUGAAUUUCGGGGUUAGUAGGUUGGUCAUGCCUCUGGUAUGUACUGAUCUCACUGAUUCCUCCCUCUUGACGAACUGUAAUGUCAUUAAUUUGGUGUUGCAGGAAAUCAGGACUGUUACUUUGAAAAAAUUAGAGUGUUUAAAGCAGGCUAAGGCGUGAAUACAUUAGCAUGGAAUAAUGAAAUAGGACGUUUGAACCUACUUUGUUGGUUUCUAGGAUCGACGUAAUGAUUAAUAGGGAUAGUUGGGGGCAUUAGUAUUCAAUUGUCAGAGGUGAAAUUCUUGGAUUUAUUGAAGACUAACUACUGCGAAAGCAUUUGCCAAGGAUGUUUUCAUUAAUCGAGAACGAAAGUUAGGGGAUCGAAGACGAUCAGAUACCGUCGUAGUCUUAACCAUAAACUAUGCCGACUAGGGAUCGGAUGAUGUUAAUUUUUAAUGACUCAUUCGCGCCUUACGGAAAC
This 546-nucleotide ribosomal RNA is filed under the name uncultured Glomeromycotina. RNAcentral describes it as "SSU rRNA". It matches the Rfam family "Eukaryotic small subunit ribosomal RNA", at positions 548 to 1098 of the family's 1831-position model. The record is from RNAcentral. Lineage: Eukaryota; Fungi; Glomeromycota.